AUUGAACGCUGGCGGCAUGCCUUACACAUGCAAGUCGAACGGUAACAGGUCUUCGGAUGCUGACGAGUGGCGAACGGGUGAGUAAUACAUCGGAACGUGCCUAGUAGUGGGGGAUAACUACUCGAAAGAGUGGCUAAUACCGCAUGAGAUCUACGGAUGAAAGCAGGGGAUCGCAAGACCUUGUGCUACUAGAGCGGCCGAUGGCGGAUUAGGUAGUUGGUGGGAUAAAAGCUUACCAAGCCGACGAUCUGUAGCUGGUCUGAGGGGACGAUUAGCCACACUGGGACUGAGACACGGCCCAGACUCCUACGGGAGGCAGCAGUGGGGAAUUUUGGACAAUGGGCGAAAGCCUGAUCCAGCAAUGCCGCGUGCAGGAUGAAGGCCUUCGGGUUGUAAACUGCUUUUGUACGGAACGAAAAGCCCCGGGUUAAUACCCUGGGGUCAUGACGGUACCGUAAGAAUAAGCACCGGCUAACUACGUGCCAGCCGCCGCCGUAA
This 498-nucleotide ribosomal RNA is filed under the name uncultured bacterium. RNAcentral describes it as "partial 16S ribosomal RNA". It matches the Rfam family "Bacterial small subunit ribosomal RNA", at positions 30 to 523 of the family's 1533-position model. The record is from RNAcentral.